UACGUAGGGUGCGAGCGUUAAUCGGAAUUACUGGGCGUAAAGCGCACGUAGGCGGACUUCUAAGUCAGGGGUGAAAUCCCGGGGCUCAACCUCGGAACUGCCUUUGAUACUGGAAGUCUCGAGUCCGAGAGAGGUGAGUGGAACUCCUAGUGUAGAGGUGAAAUUCGUAGAUAUUAGGAAGAACACCAGUGGCGAAGGCGGCUCACUGGCUCGGUACUGACGCUGAGGUGCGAAAGCGUGGGGAGCAAACAGG
Molecule: ribosomal RNA, 253 nt
Filed under: uncultured bacterium
Lineage: Bacteria
Description: partial 16S ribosomal RNA
Rfam family: Bacterial small subunit ribosomal RNA
Source: RNAcentral